RNAcentral lists this ribosomal RNA (425 nucleotides) under uncultured bacterium. Its description in RNAcentral is "bacterial SSU rRNA". It matches the Rfam family "Bacterial small subunit ribosomal RNA", at positions 354 to 796 of the family's 1533-position model. The record is from RNAcentral.
GUGGGGAAUUUUGCACAAUGGGCGGAAGCCUGAUGCAGCGACGCCGCGUGGAGGAUGAAGGCCUUCGGGUUGUAAACUCCUUUUCUCAGGAACGAUGAUGACGGUACCUGAGGAAUAAGCCACGGCUAACUCUGUGCCAGCAGCCGCGGUAAGACAGAGGUGGCGAGCGUUGUUCGGAAUCACUGGGCUUAAAGGGCGCGUAGGUGGUAGUGCAAGUCUGAGGUGGAAUCUUGGGGCUUAACCCUAAAAUUGCCUUGGAAACUGCAUUACUUGAGUCAGUGAGGGGAGGGUAGAAUUCCUGGUGUAGCGGUGAAAUGCGUAGAUAUCAGGAGGAAGGCCUGUGGCGAAGGCGGCCCUCUGGCGCUGAACUGACACUGAGGCGCGAAAGCGUGGGGAGCAAACAGGAUUAGAAACCCCAGUAGUCC